This 29-nucleotide non-coding RNA is filed under the name Rattus norvegicus (Norway rat). The record is from RNAcentral. Lineage: Eukaryota; Metazoa; Chordata; Mammalia; Rodentia; Muridae.
UCCACAAAUUGACCAAUUUCUGACGUGCC